Molecule: unclassified non-coding RNA, 334 nt
Filed under: soil metagenome
Description: partial contains 5.8S ribosomal RNA, internal transcribed spacer 2, and large subunit ribosomal RNA
Rfam family: 5.8S ribosomal RNA (bases 1-120)
Source: RNAcentral
GAUGAAGAACGCAGCGAAAUGCGAUAAGUAAUGUGAAUUGCAGAAUUCAGUGAAUCAUCGAAUCUUUGAACGCACAUUGCGCCCGCCAGUAUUCUGGCGGGCAUGCCUAUUCGAGCGUCAUUUCAACCAUCAAGCCCUGCUUGCGUUGGGGUCCUGCGGCUGCCCGCAGGCCCUGAAAACCAGUGGCGGGCUCGCUAGUCACACCGAGCGCAGUAAUACAUCUCGCUUUGGGCGUGCGGCGGGUUCUUGCCGUUAAACACCCCCUUUUUACCAAGGUUGACCUCGGAUCAGGUAGGAAUACCCGCUGAACUUAAGCAUAUCAAUAAGCGGAGGA